UGUUGCCAAACAUAGUCAAUUCAUGAA
RNAcentral lists this non-coding RNA (27 nucleotides) under Homo sapiens (human). Lineage: Eukaryota; Metazoa; Chordata; Mammalia; Primates; Hominidae. The record is from RNAcentral.